Molecule: ribosomal RNA, 253 nt
Filed under: uncultured bacterium
Lineage: Bacteria
Description: partial 16S ribosomal RNA
Rfam family: Bacterial small subunit ribosomal RNA
Source: RNAcentral
UACGAAGGGGGCUAGCGUUGCUCGGAAUUACUGGGCGUAAAGGGCGCGUAGGCGGACAGUUUAGUCAGAGGUGAAAGCCCAGGGCUCAACCUUGGAAUUGCCUUUGAUACUGGCUGUCUUGAGUACGGGAGAGGUGAGUGGAACUCCGAGUGUACAGGUGAAAUUCGUAGAUAUUCGGAAGAACACCAGUGGCGAAGGCGACUCACUGGCCCGUUACUGACGCUGAGGCGCGAAAGCGUGGGGAGCAAACAGG